Molecule: ribosomal RNA, 253 nt
Filed under: uncultured bacterium
Lineage: Bacteria
Description: partial 16S ribosomal RNA
Rfam family: Bacterial small subunit ribosomal RNA
Source: RNAcentral
UACAGAGGUCCCGAGCGUUGUUCGGAUUCAUUGGGCGUAAAGGGUGCGUAGGCUGCGGGGAAAGUCUGAUGUGAAAUCCUGGGGCUCAACCCUGGAACUGCAUUGGAUACUUCCUUGCUAGAGUACUGGAGAGGAAACUGGAAUUUACGGUGUAGCAGUGAAAUGCGUAGAGAUCGUAAGGAAGACCAGUGGCGAAGGCGAGUUUCUGGACAGUUACUGACGCUGAGGCACGAAGGCCAGGGGAGCAAACGGG